Solanum tuberosum (potato) is the source of this 1508-nucleotide long non-coding RNA. RefSeq lists it as uncharacterized. NCBI's taxonomy places the organism in Eukaryota, Viridiplantae, Streptophyta, Magnoliopsida, Solanales, Solanaceae. The record is from RefSeq and is a predicted model, not a curated record. The transcript has 3 exons.
UCCAUUUGCAGUACUAGCUCAAAACCUGCAUAACGCUGGGGAAAGUUUGGUAUCUCAUCAGACGACAACUGAAAAUGCAGCUAGUGACAACAAAACUCAAGGAACAUUCCUUAAACAAGAUGAUCCAAAGAAACAGGCUUUUGAUGCAACAAGCAGAACUGCUAAGCUCACUAGCAAUGAAAGUCGAUAUAGAAAAUACAGAUCAAAGCCUUGAAAGUGCUUGGAAGAUACUCCAAGAUUUUCUUCAACAAACAAAGGAUGGUGAUACACUCAAGUUCCAGCUCCCUAAGAUGAAUUUUGAACCUGAUAGCAGAUUCAAGAAGCAGUAAUGAAGGCAGUCGGCCAUCUUGGAGGUAUUGACCACGCAAGCUCACUUUUAACGAUGCACAACUUAUCCCAUGCCACUGUGUCUAAAAUGUCGAUGUGCAUGCAACCUGCUUUAUCUGAAGAUUCUGCUGGCAUCUCUGAGUAUAGUAGGGAUCAACUCAAGAUUGUAAGAAGAACAUUCCUACUUGCAACAGUAAUGCAGUUUCCACAUUCGAUUAACAUGAUUUGACUAGAAUUGAGAAGAUAGAUCAUUUAUCCCAAUAUAAUAUAAUGUGUGCAGUUUAGACUCCAUUAUACAGGUUUUGGGAUGAUUAAAAUAGAAUUAUGCAAACCUAUAUCUAGAAAGUAUAUAUGUGUUAGGACUUUAUUCCACUUACUUCAUUGUCAAAAGAAAUGAGAUGAAGAGAUUAAAAACUAAAGCCACCAAAAAUGAUUCCAAGUUAGUCAAUAAACAAAGAAUUCAACUUCCAAAUAUCACAAUCUCGACCAGAAAAAAAGAAGAAAAAAAUCCUGCAAAUCCCCUCUAUCAAGAACCCUCAAAUCACUUAGCUUGAUUUUCUCAAAUUUAAUGAAACCCCGCGUAACAUUAACCAUUUUACUUAUUUAAUCCAAGAAUAAACCCUGCCCAAAAAGAAAUCACAGAACCCACCUACAUUAUACACAAAUUUAUACAAGAAACCCCAUAACCAUUAAAAGAAUACUUAACUCAAACAUAAUUUGAAAAAAAUAAAACAAAUCCCUUGAUAACUAACCCAUUUCUUGCACAAAACAGUGAACUUGUUCAAAUAAAGGAAGUCAAUUAACAAAGAAAUUAACUUCCAAAUAUCAAAAUCUUGACAAAAAAAAAAAAUGAAACCCUCAAAUCCCCUCAUAUCAAAAACCCUCAAAUUUAAUUUUUACCCAGUAUCAUAAAUCAUUUUUUCAUGGAAACCCCACGUAACAUUCACUAUUUUAAUUCUUAAUAAUCCAAGAAAGAAAACCCCCAAAAAAAGAAAUCACAGAACUCACCUACAUUUCCCUUGCAUACACAAACUUAUACAAGAAACCCCAUAAGUCCAUAACCAACAUAUAAAGAAGUGAACCAGUAAUAAAAAAAAUACACAAAAAAGAUAAAACUCCAAUUAUUUUCCUACAGUACAAAAAAAGUAGACAUAAUAAACAGAGACCAAAAACAGAGAAAA